CNUUUCGUUUUUUGANAGUCCUUACUACUUGGAUACCGUGGUAUUCUAGAGCUAAUACAUGCUAAAAACCUCGACUUCGGAAGGGGUGUAUUUAUUAGAUAAAAAACCAAUGCCCUUCGGGGCUCCCUGGUGAUUCAUAAUAACUUAACGAAUCGCAUGGCCUUGUGCCGGCGAUGGUUCAUUCAAAUUUCUGCCCUAUCAACUUUCGAUGGUAGAGUAGUGGUCUACCAUGGUUUCAACGGGUAACGGGGAAUUAGGGUUCUAUUCCGGAGAGGGAGCCUGAGAAACGGCUACCACAUCCAAGGAAGGCAGCAGGCGCGCAAAUUACCCAAUCCCGACACGGGGAGGUAGUGACAAUAAAUACUGAUACAGGGCUCUUUUGGGUCUUGUAAUUGGG
Molecule: ribosomal RNA, 397 nt
Filed under: uncultured eukaryote
Lineage: Eukaryota
Description: SSU rRNA
Rfam family: Eukaryotic small subunit ribosomal RNA
Source: RNAcentral